CUCUGUUUCUAUUUAUGAUGAGCAUAAGGCCAGCUACUGUCUUGAAAUUACAAAGUGUCUAUGACCACUAAUAAAUAUGUAAUCUCAAGAAAGCAAAGUCCAUAUUUUACAUUUGUAAACCCUUGUAAGACCUGAUGCAUGACUCAGAAAUUAUUGUCUGAAUAAAUGGAGGAGUAAUUGAAUAAAGGUACCAGACUGAACAUGAAGAGAAGUUGUAUUUGAUACAGUCAGUCUGGCUUAUUUAUUUAAUAACCGUUCCUCCAAUUUCUAAUUCAAACCCCAACACUUGAGUUUCUAUAUUCCAAAUGUUCUUUCUGGUUUGAAGCAGCUAUAGAUACUGUAUUUGUUUGCCUUUUUAUUUAUACCCCCAUCUCUUUCCGGAAACAACUUCAAAUGACUUAGAAGGACAUAUGAAAUUCAGGAUGAAAUUAAUUAAAAAUGAGAAGGAAAGAAGACAGGAAAGGCAGGAUGGGUGUAUAAAAUACAGUUCGGAAUAGGGUUAAAAUAGCCAGGC
RNAcentral lists this long non-coding RNA (514 nucleotides) under Bos taurus (domestic cattle). RNAcentral's name for it is "long non-coding RNA NONBTAT013865". The record is from RNAcentral. Lineage: Eukaryota; Metazoa; Chordata; Mammalia; Artiodactyla; Bovidae.